Molecule: ribosomal RNA, 403 nt
Filed under: Verrucomicrobiota bacterium
Lineage: Bacteria; Pseudomonadati; Verrucomicrobiota
Description: Verrucomicrobia bacterium partial 16S ribosomal RNA
Rfam family: Bacterial small subunit ribosomal RNA
Source: RNAcentral
UGGGGAAUAUUGCACAAUGGGCGCAAGCCUGAUGCAGCAACGCCGCGUGAACGAUGAAGGUCUUCGGAUCGUAAAGUUCUGUUGCAGGGGAAGAUAAUGACGGUACCCUGUGAGGAAGCCCCGGCUAACUACGUGCCAGCAGCCGCGGUAAUACGUAGGGGGCUAGCGUUAUCCGGAUUUACUGGGCGUAAAGGGUGCGUAGGUGGUCUUUCAAGUCGGUGGUUAAAGGCUACGGCUCAACCGUAGUUAGCCUCCGAAACUGGAAGACUUGAGUGCAGGAGAGGAAAGUGGAAUUCCCAGUGUAGCGGUGAAAUGCGUAGAUAUUGGGGGGAACACCAGUAGCGAAGGCGGCUUUAUGGACUGCAACUGACACUGAGGCACGAAAGCGUGGGUAGCAAACAGG